Molecule: ribosomal RNA, 504 nt
Filed under: uncultured bacterium
Lineage: Bacteria
Description: partial 16S ribosomal RNA
Rfam family: Bacterial small subunit ribosomal RNA
Source: RNAcentral
ACGAACGCUGGCGGCGUGCCUGAUACCUGCAAGUAGAACGCACAGUUUAUACCGUAGCUUGCUACACCAUAGACUGUGAGUUGCGAACGGGUGAGUAACGCGUAGGUAACCUGCCUGGUAGCGGGGGAUAACUAUUGGAAACGAUAGCUAAUACCGCAUAAUAUUAAUUAUUGCAUGAUAAUUAAUUGAAAGGUGCAAUUGCACCACUACCAGAUGGACCUGCGUUGUAUUAGCUAGUAGGUGAGGUAACGGCUCACCUAGGCGACGAUACAUAGCCGACCUGAGAGGGUGAUCGGCCAAACUGGGACUGAGACACGGCCCAGACUCCUACGGGAGGCAGCAGUAGGGAAUCUUCGGCAAUGGACGAAAGUCUGACCGAGCAACGCCGCGUGAGUGAAGAAGGGUUUCGGAUCGUAAAGCUCUGUUGUAAGAGAAGAACGGGUGUGAGAGUGGAAAGUUCACACUGUGACGGUAUCUUACCAGAAAGGGACGGCUAACUACGUG